Leptonychotes weddellii (Weddell seal) is the source of this 940-nucleotide non-coding RNA. The record is from RefSeq and is a predicted model, not a curated record. NCBI's taxonomy places the organism in Eukaryota, Metazoa, Chordata, Mammalia, Carnivora, Phocidae.
GAGGAAGCCCCCUGUUGAAGGUAGCUCCAUGCGAACUUUCUAUCAAGAUUGUGGCAGAAUGACCAGGAGCUGGGCACAAGUCACCAGAUCCCCCAGAUGGCCAAGAGGCUGUGGAGCUACCUGCCUUUAGUGGACCACAUGGUCUUGGGCAGUGACCAUCCCAGUAGCAACCACGAUAGACCAAAGACCAAACAAUCUUUCCUAGGCUCUGUGUGGUGCCAGGAUGUCUGCCAGCAAGUUCCGACCCAAAGCCUUCCAGAUUCAAGGGCCCCGGAGAAUGUGGAGGCUCUCGCCAAAGUCUCUGCGAAAUCUCACUAUCAUGUGGACUCCACUGGGCCACACAGCCCUGUCCUAAUCUCUCAAUGGGGGAAUGGAAUGCUCUUUUGGAACAGAGAUAAUUUCCCCAGAAAUGCGUAGUAUUCGAUCAAGACACAAUUGAUUUCCAGUAGUAGAAAUGAUCACUCCAAACAUUGCGUUUUAUUGCCUUAUUGGAUAGUAUACUGAUUAUACACAGCUAUUAGCAAAUUCAUGUGAUCAUUCCUGAUAUACUCUGUAUAACCCUGCUUUUCAUCCACUUCACCGGUCUAACAAAUCUCACUUAACGUAAUUCAUUAAUGGUUGGAGUAUGUCUUUGAUACGUUCAUUUUAUAUUUGUGUGAAAGUCACAUUUUUAACUUUUCAAAAACUGUAUUUUAGGAAGUGUGAGUCGGCUACUUUGUUCCUUUUAUUUACAAUCCUCAUUUUCCUUUAAAACCACCUGGAUAAUAUGUAUCCUCGGGAAAAUUGUAGCUUUAAAUUUGCCGAAUAUUUCAAACAACUUGCCAUCCGGGUUAGUCAGACUUGAACUUGGAUCCUCCAGCCCCCCUGCCAAGCUGCUCAGGCAGAUGCUGUGCAGGACAGAGAUGAGUCAGCCCUACAAAGUCCUGAGCAAAUUGUAGGU